GACGAACGCUGGCGGCGUGCUUAACACAUGCAAGUCGAGCGGAAAGGCCCUUCGGGGUACUCGAGCGGCGAACGGGUGAGUAACACGUGAGCAACCUGCCCCUGACUCUGGGAUAAGCCCGGGAAACUGGGUCUAAUACCGGAUACGACAUCGAUUCGCAUGGGUUGGUGUGGAAAGUUUUUUCGGUCAGGGAUGGGCUCGCGGCCUAUCAGCUUGUUGGUGGGGUAGUGGCCUACCAAGGCGACGACGGGUAGCCGGCCUGAGAGGGCGACCGGCCACACUGGGACUGAGACACGGCCCAGACUCCUACGGGAGGCAGCAGUGGGGAAUAUUGCACAAUGGGGGAACCCUGAUGCAGCGACGCCGCGUGC
This 371-nucleotide ribosomal RNA is filed under the name uncultured bacterium. RNAcentral describes it as "bacterial SSU rRNA". It matches the Rfam family "Bacterial small subunit ribosomal RNA", at positions 28 to 404 of the family's 1533-position model. The record is from RNAcentral.